RNAcentral lists this ribosomal RNA (1436 nucleotides) under Alphaproteobacteria bacterium. RNAcentral describes it as "bacterial SSU rRNA". It matches the Rfam family "Bacterial small subunit ribosomal RNA". RNAcentral also lists the same sequence under 1 other name. The record is from RNAcentral. Lineage: Bacteria; Pseudomonadati; Pseudomonadota; Alphaproteobacteria.
AGAGUUUGAUCCUGGCUCAGAACGUACGCUGGCGGCACGCCUAACACAUGCAAGUCGAACGAAGUAGCAAUACUUAGUGGCAGACGGGUGAGUAACAUGUAGGUAUCUGCCCUUUGGCCUGGAAUAACACGAGGAAACUUGUGCUAAUACCGGAUAAGUCUUUACGGAGAAAGCUUUAUGCACCAUUGGAUGAGCCUGCACUUGAUUAGUUUGUUGGUGGGGUAAUGGCCUACCAAGACUGUGAUCAAUAGCUGAUUUGAGAGGAUGAUCAGCCACAUUGGGACUGAGACACGGCCCAAACUCCUACGGGAGGCAGCAGUGGGGAAUCUUGCACAAUGGAGGAAACUCUGAUGCAGCGAUGCCGCGUGAGUGAAGAAGGCCUUUGGGUUGUAAAGCUCUUUCGUCGGGGAAGAAAAUGACUGUACCCGAAUAAGAAGGUCCGGCUAACUUCGUGCCAGCAGCCGCGGUAAUACGAAGGGACCUAGCGUAGUUCGGAAUUACUGGGCUUAAAGAGUUCGUAGGUGGUUGAAAAAGUUGGUGGUGAAAUCCCAGAGCUUAACUCUGGAACUGCCAUCAAAACUUUUCAGCUAGAGUAUGAUAGAGGAAAGCAGAAUUUCUAGUGUAGAGGUGAAAUUCGUAGAUAUUAGAAAGAAUACCAAUUGCGAAGGCAGCUUUCUGGAUCAUUACUGACACUGAGGAACGAAAGCAUGGGUAGCGAAGAGGAUUAGAUACCCUCGUAGUCCAUGCCGUAAACGAUGUGUGUUAGACGUUGGAAAUUUAUUUUCAGUGUCGCAGCGAAAGCGAUAAACACACCGCCUGGGGAGUACGACCGCAAGGUUAAAACUCAAAUGAAUUGACGGGGACCAGCACAAGUAGUGGAGCAUGUGGUUUAAUUCGAAGAUACGCGCAGAACCUUACCAACACUUGACAUGUUCGUCGCGACUUUAAGAGAUUAAAGUUUUCGGUUCGGCCGGACGAAACACAGGUGCUGCAUGGCUGUCGUCAGCUCGUGUCGUGAGAUGUUGGGUUAAGUCCCGCAACGAGCGCAACCCUCACUUUUAGUUGCCAUCAUUAAGUUGGGCACUCUGAAAGAACUGCCAGUGAUAAGCUGGAGGAAGGUGGGGAUGACGUCAAGUCCUCAUGGCCCUUACGUGUUGGGCUACACACGUGCUACAAUGGUAUCUACAACAGGAAGCAAAACUGCGAGGUUAAGCAAAUCCUUAAAAGAUACCUCAGUUCGGAUUGCACUCUGCAACUCGAGUGCAUGAAGCUGGAAUUACUAGUAAUCGUGGAUCAGCGUGCCACGGUGAAUGCGUUCCCGGGUCUUGUACACACCGCCCGUCACACCAUGGGAGUUGGUUCUACCUUAAGGCAAGGUUUCAAACCCUUGACCACGGUAUAGUCAGCGACUGGGGUGAAGUCGUAACAAGGUAACC